RNAcentral lists this ribosomal RNA (483 nucleotides) under uncultured bacterium. RNAcentral's name for it is "partial 16S ribosomal RNA". It matches the Rfam family "Bacterial small subunit ribosomal RNA", at positions 28 to 507 of the family's 1533-position model. The record is from RNAcentral.
GACGAACGCUGGCGGCGUGCCUAACACAUGCAAGUCGAGCGGGGAGUUAAGUGGAAGUUCUUCGGAAUGGUGAUUUAAAUUCUAGCGGCGGACGGGUGAGUAACGCGUGAACAAUCUGUCCCGGACAGGGGGAUAACACUUGGAAACAGGUGCUAAUACCGCAUAAGACCACGGCCUCGCAUGGGGCUGAGGUAAAAGGAGCAAUCCGGUUCGGGGUGAGUUCGCGUCCGAUUAGCUAGUUGGUGAGGUAACGGCCCACCAAGGCGACGAUCGGUAGCCGGCCUGAGAGGGUGAACGGCCACAUUGGAACUGAGAGACGGUCCAAGCUCCUACGGGAGGCAGCAGUGGAGAAUAAUGGGCAAUGGGCGAAAGACUGACCCAGCAACGCCGCGUGAGGGAAGAAGGUUUUCGGAUUGUAAAACUCUGUCCUAUGGGACGAAGGAAGUGACGGUACCAUAGGAGGAAGCCCCGGCUAACUACGUG